Molecule: unclassified non-coding RNA, 1499 nt
Filed under: Hevea brasiliensis (rubber tree)
Lineage: Eukaryota; Viridiplantae; Streptophyta; Magnoliopsida; Malpighiales; Euphorbiaceae
Source: RNAcentral
CAGGAGUCAACGCCUUUCAAGUUGGCCUUUCCGGGAAGAAUCCCUUGCCCUGUUUUCUCCUCCCUUCAUCUGUUCUGUCAUAAAGCCAUUUGUGAACUUCCUUCUUGCAUCACUGAAGCAACGCGUCGCCGCUCCUCGCAGUUUACGUCAUUACUGCUCAAAUCUGGCUUAUGUCAGUACAUCUCAAGGAGGAGAUAAGGAUAAGUCCAAUAAUCCUAACAGUAGCCAUAAAGAAGCCCACAGCACUACUGCCAAAAAUAGUGCUAAAGAAAUAUUUGGUCAAGAAUGAAGAACAGCCACAAGGACGAAGAGCAAGACCCUAAAGAAGAACCACUCAACCACCAAGAAAAAGAAAUUCACCAAGAACUGGAAAAAGAACCCAUGUUCGAGAAAACGUUAACCCCAAGUGACGUUGGGAAGCUAAACCGUUUAGUAAUACCAAAACAGUAUGCAGAUAAAUGUUUCCCACUCCUCGAUGACUCGGUUGAUAAAAUGUUAACUUUCGAGGACGAGUUAGGCAAGAGUUGGAGGUUCAGGUAUUGUUAUUGGAACAAAAGCCAAAGCUAUGUAUUGACAAAAGGGUGGAUGAGGUUUGUGAAGAAGAAACAACUCAAAGCAGGAGAUAUCAUUUUGUUUGAGCAACACCCAACGGACAGUGAGAGGUUGUUUAUAGGUUGGAGGAAGAAUGGGGACAACAGCAGCAGUGAAGUGGUGGUGCUAGGUAGCGGAUUGUAUCAUUCAUUUGGGCACCAACCUAAUGAACGUGGCCAUGGGGCUAAUGUUACUACUAGUGUCACAUCUCAACCUGAGUAUCUUCAUGAAGGUGUCAAGAAUGUGACGGUAGACAUAAAUUCGGAACAGUUGACAGUGAUAGGUGAGGUGAAUCCUUUGCAGAUUGAGAUUCGAGAAGAGGUUCCCUGGAAGAUUUCUCGCAUCAAUAGAGGUCAACGUUGCAUAUCAGAUCUCAGAGCAAAAAAGGAGACAAUAGAGUGGGCAUUAUUAAUUACAAGCUUGCUUCUGGAGGGUUUAUCUGCAAUUUUUGACCAAUUGGGUUAUGCGUUAAUGGGUAUGGUGAUGGCAUUUGUGGCUUUACUCCUUUCAACUAUGGAGCUCAUUGGAAAGGCCAGAAAUGAAAGGGUCAGGUGGGAACGGAGGAGCCCCUUACCUAAUUUUUAUACUCAAAAUUCAACUGAUAAUUCCCCAAAUGGUGAGCUUUUUGGCAGCCUUGUUGAGUAUUUUGGAUUAUCUGGUGCUGUCUGGCAAUGCCUUUACUCAUCAAUGCAGUAUAUAUAUGCUCGUCGGAAUUUAGAUAAUCCUAUCAAAAUGUGUCUUCUACCUUUUAUUUUUGUGUUUUGUGUGCUUAUUUCCAAGUUGGUUAGAGGUUGAUACGUAAGCUUGUAUGUUUAGAAUAACCAGGGAGUGGUUUCAAUUAAAAAAGUUGAAAGCAAUACACAAGUUAAUUACCUCAUCAACACAAGACUUCAACUAAUUUGAAAUUA